Mercurialis annua (annual mercury) is the source of this 538-nucleotide long non-coding RNA. RefSeq lists it as uncharacterized. The record is from RefSeq and is a predicted model, not a curated record. NCBI's taxonomy places the organism in Eukaryota, Viridiplantae, Streptophyta, Magnoliopsida, Malpighiales, Euphorbiaceae. The transcript is spliced from 2 exons.
AAAUUAAACACACCCUAAUUCUAUCACUGCCAUUCUCUACCCUUCUCUUCUUGUUACGAUUAUGACUCUAUGAGUGUUGUGUUUUACAACGAGGCAAAGAAGAGCUCCAAGGUUACAGCUCACUAAUUCAAAGACAUUAAAUUGAAAAGAAAUGAAAAAAAAAGGAGAUUAAUUUUGAUUGCCACAACCACUGAUUUAUUAAUGGAAGGAAAGAAGGGAGUUUGGAUCAAAUUGGACUGUACAGUACAAUGGAACAAAAGAAAAAGGGGCUGCUCCACGUACCACCGUCGUUUUCUACCUGCUGUCGUUCUCUACUCAGACGUCGUCAUUGAUUUGCAGCAGUAUCCCGGCCAAGCUCCAAGACCGAAUCUCUUUUCUAAUGGUGUUCAAACAUUCCAUCCUUGCGGGUGAGGUCCAUCGUUCAGGAGGAGCAGACUAUGUUCGAUACAAGUAGAAGGCGGCAUCGAUGGAAGCAGAAGGUGGAAGGACGGGGAAGGCCACAGCGGUGGCCGGAGAAGGUGAGAGAAAUAAGAGAGAU